UGAUGUGAGGGCAGUCUGGCUGUGACAUCUGUCACUCCACUGAUUUCCAGAGCUGAUUUGGCUGAUCUGGCUGUUUAGGUGGGUGUCCCCUUCUUCCCUUACCACUCCAUGUGUGUCCCUCCCAAGGUUGAACAGGACGACCUUCCCUAGAAUACAGACUGGUCUUCAGAGUAUAGGAGUAGCUGUGUUCCCCUGCUAGAACCUCCAUAUAAGUACUGCACGCUAACCCAUUGCACCACUGGAGCUCCAGAAACUCCAAACAAGCUCUCAGGAAAUAAGAGGGGACCCAACAGGUAGCUCAGCAGAGGAUCACAGGCCUUGCACAUGUAAGGCCUGGAGUC
RNAcentral lists this small nuclear RNA (341 nucleotides) under Erinaceus europaeus (western European hedgehog). RNAcentral describes it as "7SK RNA". It matches the Rfam family "7SK RNA". From Rfam's summary of the family: 7SK was discovered as an abundant small nuclear RNA in the mid-70s but a possible function has only recently been suggested. Two independent studies have found that 7SK RNA binds the CDK9/cyclin T complex (known as elongation factor P-TEFb). Lineage: Eukaryota; Metazoa; Chordata; Mammalia; Eulipotyphla; Erinaceidae. The record is from Rfam by way of RNAcentral.